UACAGAGGGGGCAAGCGUUGUUCGGAAUUACUGGGCGUAAAGGGCGCGUAGGCGGCCUGCUAAGUCGAACGUGAAAUCCCCGGGCUCAACCCGGGAACUGCGUCCGAUACUGGCAGGCUUGAAUUCGGGAGAGGGAUGUGGAAUUCCAGGUGUAGCGGUGAAAUGCGUAGAGAUGUGGAGGAACACCUGUGGCGAAGGCGCCUUGCUGGCCGAUUUCUGACGCUGAGGCGCGAAAGCGUGGGGAGCAAACAGG
Molecule: ribosomal RNA, 253 nt
Filed under: uncultured bacterium
Lineage: Bacteria
Description: partial 16S ribosomal RNA
Rfam family: Bacterial small subunit ribosomal RNA
Source: RNAcentral